UCCAGGCCCUACGGGGCGCAGCAGGCGCGAAAACUACGCACUGCGCGAAAGCGCGACGUGGGAAACCCGAGUGCCUUUUCUUUUUUUGAAAAAGGCUUUUCUCAAGCCUAAAAAGCUUGGGGAAUAAGAGCUGGGCAAGACGGGUG
This 146-nucleotide ribosomal RNA is filed under the name uncultured archaeon. Its description in RNAcentral is "partial 16S ribosomal RNA". It matches the Rfam family "Archaeal small subunit ribosomal RNA", at positions 315 to 457 of the family's 1478-position model. The record is from RNAcentral.